GGGCAGGUUCUCGAGUGGUCAAAGAGGACAGACUGUAAAUCUGUUGGCUCCGCCUUCGAAGGUUCGAAUCCUUCUCUGCCCA
RNAcentral lists this transfer RNA (82 nucleotides) under Candidatus Magasanikiibacteriota bacterium. RNAcentral describes it as "Candidatus Magasanikbacteria bacterium tRNA-Tyr". It matches the Rfam family "tRNA". Rfam says of the family: Transfer RNA (tRNA) molecules are approximately 80 nucleotides in length. Their secondary structure includes four short double-helical elements and three loops (D, anti-codon, and T loops). Lineage: Bacteria; Candidatus Magasanikiibacteriota. The record is from RNAcentral.